CGCAACGAGCGCAACCCUUAUCCUUUGUUGCCAGCGGUUCGGCCGGGAACUCAAAGGAGACUGCCGGUGAUAAACCGGAGGAAGGUGGGGAUGACGUCAAGUCAUCAUGGCCCUUACGACCAGGGCUACACACGUGCUACAAUGGCGCAUACAAAGAGAAGCGACCUCGCGAGAGCAAGCGGACCUCAUAAAGUGCGUCCUAGUCCGGAUUGGAGUCUGCAACUCGACUCCGUGAAGUCGGAAUCGCUAGUAAUCGUGGAUCAGAAUGCCACGGUGAAUACGUU
RNAcentral lists this ribosomal RNA (284 nucleotides) under Cronobacter malonaticus. RNAcentral's name for it is "partial 16S ribosomal RNA". It matches the Rfam family "Bacterial small subunit ribosomal RNA", at positions 1088 to 1372 of the family's 1533-position model. The record is from RNAcentral. Lineage: Bacteria; Pseudomonadati; Pseudomonadota; Gammaproteobacteria; Enterobacterales; Enterobacteriaceae.